UGCCUAGCCCUCAUAGCUGGUCUAUGAGAUAUGGCAGAAAAAACCUACCACAGGAUAGAGAGCUCGUCGUCAGAGCACCUGUGGUAGGUCAUAUCCCGAAGGGGUAUGGGUGGUCGCAAGACCAUC
Molecule: small RNA, 126 nt
Filed under: unclassified sequences
Description: LOOT RNA
Rfam family: LOOT RNA
About the family: Latescibacteria, OD1/Parcubacteria, OP11, TM7.
Source: Rfam by way of RNAcentral